RNAcentral lists this ribosomal RNA (445 nucleotides) under uncultured bacterium. RNAcentral's name for it is "partial 16S ribosomal RNA". It matches the Rfam family "Bacterial small subunit ribosomal RNA", at positions 338 to 795 of the family's 1533-position model. The record is from RNAcentral.
CCUACGGGUGGCAGCAGUGAGGAAUUUUGCGCAAUGGCCGCAAGGCUGACGCAGCAACGCCGCGUGGGUGAUGAAGGCCUUCGGGUCGUAAAGCCCUGUCAGGUGGGAAGAAAGGUUUCAAGGAGCAACACUUGGGAUUUGACGGUACCACCAGAGGAAGCACCGGCUAACUCCGUGCCAGCAGCCGCGGUAAUACGGAGGGUGCGAGCGUUAUUCGGAAUUAGUGGGCGUAACGAGCGUGAUGUGAAGGCCCUGGGCUUAACCUGGGAAGGGCAUUGGAAACUGUUUUUCGUGAGUACUGGAGAGGAAGGGGGAAUUCCCGGUGUAGAGGUGAAAUUCGUAGAGAUCGGGAGGAAUACCAGUGGCGUAGGCGCCCUUCUGGACGGUAACUGACGCUGAGACGCGAAAGCGUGGGGAGCAAACAGGAUUAGAUACCACGGUAGUC